AACUUCCCCCAUCCACGUCACACACGACGUCCUUGUGCUGUACUCAAACACGCAGAUACUUCACCAGGUCUGUCCCCUCGAGCAACCUUCCCCGCAGCUUCUCAGCCUUCUCUAGUCUACACUGGCUGCCCUCAGGCCGGCCCCACAGCUGUCACCGGGGUCCGGUCAUUGUCGUCAUCAUUCUAGAAUUUUACUCUGCCCUUCUUUUCUUGGACCAACUGCUGUUGGAUCUUAGAACGUCCUCCUCCUUGAUUUGCCCCCUCGUUGGGUAGAACUCAAACGGUAUAUGGGAGGUUAAUUUUUUGAGAUCUUCAAUGUAUGAGGAAAGUCUUUAGGAUAACUUGGCUGAAUACAAAAUUCUAGGUUGGAAACCUCUCCCCAGAAUUCUGAAGCCUUCCCGCCGUAGUCCUCCAGGGUCUGUCAAUCUCUGCUUGUAUAAUCUGCUCCUUUUUCCAGUUUUUUGAAGGUUCAUAAUGUUGUUCAGGGUGUCAUGCCUUUUUAUUCAUGGUGGGAAUUCUGUCUCUAGAUUUUAGGAAUUUGUCUUAAAUUAUUUAUUGGAAUCCCUUCUGUCCCUGUUUUUAUCCUUAUCUUUAGUAUUUGGAUCUCCUAUCCUCCUUUUUUUAAAAACAUUUAAAUCUUUUGACUUUUAUCCUACUUUCUGAGAAACUUCCUCACAUUUAUGGUCCAGCCUUUUUUUAAAAAAUUAUUUUUUAAAUUCCACUGUAGCUAACAUACAGUGUUUGUUAGUUUCAGGUUGUCAAAACUUUUUAUUGGUUUUCAUUUCUGCUGUUUUUCAUUUAUGAGAAUUUUUUUUCUCUGAAUAUUAUUUUUUAUAGCUCUGUUGAUUUCCUUUCUCUGGAGAUAAUUAUACUAUUUUAGAAGGUUUGCUUUUCUUUUCUUUUUGCAUAGCCUCCAAAUUUCUUUAUUCUUAUCAUACAUUAGGCCAAAUGUCCUAAAGCUUUUUCUCAAAUUUCUAGCAAGCUUUAGAUAUUUAUUCAUAUUAGCAGUAGAGCACUAAAAAGCUGAAUUGGACUGUAAGAUCCAUGGAAUGGAUGAGGCUCAUCAGCUUCACUUAGGGUCGUAUGCAUGGGUGGGCCUCUCCACUGGGGAAUCCCUAAUACUAUAGUUGGGUCGUUUUUCUGGGACUGGUCAGAUUUCCGCGAGAGAGUCCUCCCCGUCUCCUGCCAGUAGCAUAUAAACUGCUCCCAGUAGUCAAGAGAGAGAGGGCGUGGAGGCCGGGACAGGAGCGUGCCCUCGGCCAGAUGGGGUGCGCCUUCUGCUUGCCCUCCAGAGAACGAAGCUCUAGUCUGCUGCCAUGUGGGAAGGAAGAGAAGACCUAACAUCCAGCUGUUUCAUCAACGCCUUUAAACCGAUCAUUUGGUUUUAACUGCAACUUAAGCUCCACUUCCAGAAGUUCCCACACCACAGAUUCUUAGAGCAUUUUGCAGUGUAAACGAGGUUGCAUCUUUUUGUCUUUCACACUGCCCAUUUAGGAUCUGACUGGUUUAGAUCUAAGUCAGAUUCCGCUUACCCAUAUACGUGGCCGCUUUCAAACUCUUCUAGCUAUUAUUUCCUCUCCUUUUAUCUUUUACUUUGUGGAUUUAUGCCUUGUGUGUAUAUUUAACUAAGUAUCAACUAUCUACGGUAGCAUAUGUGGUUAUGUGCAGUUACACAUGGUGUGUGCGUACCUAUAUGCGGCACAUACACUAGAUGCACACACACAUGCACAUAACAUGACGAUAACAUUCUGCAUACGUAAAGAGACAGUUUGGGGUAGAGCUAAAGUUAAUAUGUUGUUUCAAUGUUCCAUCUAUAACUGAAACUUCAGAUUAAUUUUUUGUUCAUUUAUUUGACCCUUAACUGUUCACAUCCGCGUGGGCUUCAGAUUUGUUGCUAAUAAGAUAUUAUUUACUACAACUUCUAAACAUUGAAAGGCGCUUUCUAUUCUGAUGACCCCAUUGCCCAUCCCUGGGUGCGGAAGGUACCAGGUCAAGCUUAGCAUGCAGAAACUCUCUUUUAUUCCAUACUUAGAAGUCUUACAGUGCACCAAUGAUGUAUUCUGGCCAAAAAGUCAAACGUGAAUAUCUAGACCUACUUAACAAUUUGUAGGAAAUAAAGGGGAUAUCAGUGGAUAACCAGCAAAAUCAAUAUUGCUGGGAAUAACCCCAUUUCUUCAAUAACAAAUUUUCAGAGAAAAUUAAAGAGAGGGAGGGUCCAGAGGGCAUCCUAUAUGAUACAAUACAUUUCAGAAAUGUGUCUAAUUGCAUUGUAUGGCUGUUAUUUGGAUCCUGAGUUGAGCCAACAUAUUGUUUUAAGAAAAUUAGACAUUUGGAAAAAGUUUAAACAAUAUUAUUCUAACAAUAUUUAAACAAUAUUGAUUAUAUUAAGGAAUUAUUGUUGCUAUCUUAUGUGUUGUAAUGAUAUGUGGUUAUAAUUUUCAAAAAUCUAUCUUUUAACUCUAAAUGACAUGAUAACAUGUCAUAUGAGAUAUUGCUGUAAGGCUACAGUAACCCAAACUUGUAUUGCCAAAAGAAUACACAAAAUAGAUCAGUGGAACAGAAUGCAUAGCCCAGAACUAGACCCAGGCAAAUAUAGUCAACUGACCUCUGACAGAGGAGCAGAGGUAAUACAAUGGAGAGACCAGCUUUUCAACAAAUAGUUCUGGAAUAACUGGACAGCACAUGGAAAGUAAUGAAUCUACACACAAACCUUGCACAUUUUACAAAAAUUAAGUCAAAAUGGAUCACGGACCUAAAUAUAAAAUCCAAAACUAUAAAACUCCUAGUAACAUAAGAGCAAAUCUAGAUGCCCUUGGGUUUGGCAGUGACUUUUCAGAUACAACAACUAUUUCUAAUUGCCAAUACUUGGAAGCAACCAAGAUGCCUUUCAGCAGGUAAAUGGAUAAAUAAACUAUGGUAUCUUCAUUCAGGAAAACAUUAAUCGGUGCUUAAAAAGUACAUAUCAAGCUAUGAAAAGACAUGGAAAUGAAGGAAGCUUAGCUGCACAUUAUAAUGAGAGAAGUCAAUGUGAAAAUGCUACAGGCAGUACAUUUUCAACUAUGUGACAUUGUGGAAACGGGAAAACUACAGAAACUAAAAGUAUCAGGGGCUGGAGGGAGGGGCGAGGGGAUGAACAGCAGAGCACAGAGGGUUGCGAGGCGGUGCAGCUGUUCUACGGGAUACUGUACUGAGGGUUGCAUACACUCAUAUGUUUGUUCAAACCCCUACGACACCAAGAGUGAAGCCUACUAUAGACUCUGAGCCUUGAGUACUAGUGAUGUGGCAAUGCAGCUUCAUGGGUUGUAGCAGGUGCACCACAUGGUGAGGAUGUUGACUCUGCAGGGGGCUGUGUGUGGGUGGGGGGAGCAGCGAAUAAUACAUGGGAAAUCUGUACUUUCUGCUUGGUUUUGCUAUGAACCAAAGCGCUACAAUACAGCCUAUUGAACAUGUGUGAUUAUCCCUUAACUGUUUACAAAUAAUAUAAUUAAAUGUCUGGAAUUUUCCACAGAAAGAUCCAGGGUGAGGCGUCAAUGGAGAACAGAGGUAGCGAGUAGGCUGCAGAUUAAGUAAGAGUGGCCAUGAGUUGAUGAUUGUUGAUUCUAGAUUACAGGUAAAUGAUGCUUUAUUAUACCGUUCUCUCCACUUUUGAUAUGUCUGAAAUUUUCCAUAGUAAAGGCUUUGAAUACUGAAUAGCUCAGCUGGGUUACAUGAGGGUUCUAUAACCAGUAGAACAAGUGCAGGCAACUAGUAGCGAACCCCUUCAUAACUGGAAAGAGGUGACUGAGAGUGAAUAAGCGUUAGACGCCCGCUGGAGGCCGAGGGGCACAGAAUCAUCCAUCUUCACAUCCCGCUGGAGCAAGAAAGGUGUGGGCUGGGACAUCUCGGUGAAGGACGAGUGCUCACAAAUCCUUCAUGAGAAAUCCUAGCUGCAUUACUGUCCUGACAGAAAUAAUGAAACCAGAAGAUUGUAUUCAGAAAACUGCACUUACUGGAGAGAGAAGAAGAGUUUUAGAAAAGAACCAGAGGCCCCCAAGUUCCGUGAGUCUAAAUCUCUGGCUGACACCCCUAAGCAACACCUGAAUGAAGCAGACUCAGCUCGUCCUAAAGACAAAGAUUGGAACUAAAUGAAAGCUUCCACUCAAGGAACACUUAAGAACCUGAGUUUGCUGUUCAACUGCAAUUGACUGCUAAACCAAAAGAAAAAGGGUCCAGAUUAUUCACAAUUUAUUAUUCCGGAUGUCUAGAAUAAAAUGUAAAAUUAUCCAACAUAUAAAAAACAAGGAAAAUGGAACAGUUUCAAGAGAAUAGAAAAUCAACUGAGACCAACCUCAAUAGAUCAAUGGAUAUUAUCCAAUGUGAAGAAUAGAAAAAUAUUUAGGAUAAAGUGAACAUAUGACUUCAAAGGUACCUGUUAAAUAUAAUCAGAUAAUCUAACGUAUGUGUAAUUGGAGUACUAGAAGAAAAACAAAUGGAGAAUCAGGAAAAAAAAAACACCUUAAGUAAUGGUCGACACUUUCUCAAAUUUAAUGAAAAGCACAAAAUUACAGAUUCAA
This is a long non-coding RNA of Canis lupus familiaris (dog), 4552 nucleotides long. RefSeq lists it as uncharacterized. The transcript is spliced from 2 exons. Lineage: Eukaryota; Metazoa; Chordata; Mammalia; Carnivora; Canidae. The record is from RefSeq and is a predicted model, not a curated record.